This 777-nucleotide long non-coding RNA is filed under the name Homo sapiens (human). RNAcentral's name for it is "HSALNT0322475". Lineage: Eukaryota; Metazoa; Chordata; Mammalia; Primates; Hominidae. The record is from RNAcentral.
AUGGUGUGCUUGUCUGAUGGACAGGGCAGCUUAGGGGAAUAAGUCUCUGCAGCGUUGUAGUGAAGAGAGAAUACGGGACAACUGCAGGACCACAGCUCAGCCAAGACACAACCACAUGACUGAAGACAGAGAUCAUCUGGGUCAGUGUUUCAGAAAAUGUUGCCAAGAAACUUCAAAUGCAGAUUCCUGGACCUCCGUGCAAACUACUAUAUUAGAAGACAUUCGUGACCGGGCGCAGCGGCUCACACCUAUAAUCCCAGCGCUUUGGGAGGCCGAGGCGGGUGGAUCACGAGGUCAAGAAAUUGAGACCAUCCUGGCCAACAUGGUGAAACCCCGUCUCUACUAAAAAUACAAAAGUUAGCUGGGCAUGGUGGUGUGUGCUUGUAGUCCCAGCUACUCGGGAGGCUGAGGCAAGAGAAUUGCUUGAACCCGGGAAGCAGAGGUUGCAGUGAGCCAAGAUCACGCCACUGCACUCCAGCCUGGUGAUGAAGCGAGACUCCAUCUCAAAAAGAAAAAAAACAAAACAAAAACAUUCGUGUGCAUGUGUCUUUAUGGUAGAAUGAUUUUAACCCUUCGAGAAAUCACCAUACUGCUUUCCACAAUGGUUAAACUAACUUACAUUCCCACCAACAAUGUACAAGUGUUUCCUUUCCUCUGUAACCUUGUCAGCAACAGUUACUUUUUGACUUUUUAUCAACAGCCAUUCUGACUUGUGUGAGGUGGUUUUGAUUUGCAUUUCUCUAAUGUCAGUGAUAUUGAGCCUUUUUUCAAUGCUUG